Molecule: ribosomal RNA, 683 nt
Filed under: uncultured bacterium
Lineage: Bacteria
Description: bacterial SSU rRNA
Rfam family: Bacterial small subunit ribosomal RNA
Source: RNAcentral
AGCGGCGGAUGGGUGAGUAACACGUGGGGAACCUGCCCCCAAGUCUGGGAUACCACUUGGAAACAGGUGCUAAUACCGGAUAAUAAAGCAGAUCGCAUGAUCAGCUUUUGAAAGGCGGCGUAAGCUGUCGCUAAGGGAUGGCCCCGCGGUGCAUUAGCUAGUUGGUAAGGUAACGGCUUACCAAGGCGACGAUGCAUAGCCGAGUUGAGAGACUGAUCGGCCACAUUGGGACUGAGACACGGCCCAAACUCCUACGGGAGGCAGCAGUAGGGAAUCUUCCACAAUGGACGCAAGUCUGAUGGAGCAACGCCGCGUGAGUGAAGAAGGUUUUCGGAUCGUAAAGCUCUGUUGUUGGUGAAGAAGGAUAGAGGUAGUAACUGGCCUUUAUUUGACGGUAAUCAACCAGAAAGUCACGGCUAACUACGUGCCAGCAGCCGCGGUAAUACGUAGGUGGCAAGCGUUGUCCGGAUUUAUUGGGCGUAAAGCGAGCGCAGGCGGAAAAAUAAGUCUAAUGUGAAAGCCCUCGGCUUAACCGAGGAACUGCAUCGGAAACUGUUUUUCUUGAGUGCAGAAGAGGAGAGUGGAACUCCAUGUGUAGCGGUGGAAUGCGUAGAUAUAUGGAAGAACACCAGUGGCGAAAGCGGCUCUCUGGUCUGCAACUGACGCUGAGGCUCGAAAGCAUG